CCUACGGGAGGCAGCAGUGGGGAAUAUUGCACAAUGGGGGAAACCCUGAUGCAGCGACGCCGCGUGAGUGAAGAAGUAUUUCGGUAUGUAAAGCUCUAUCAGCAGGGAAGAAAAUGACGGUACUUGACUAAGAAGCCCCGGCUAACUACGUGCCAGCAGCCGCGGUAAUACGUAGGGGGCAAGAGUUAUCCGGAUGUACUGGGUGUAAAGGGAGCGUAGGCGGCCAGACAAGUCAGAAGUGAAAGCCCAGGGCUCAACCCUGGGACUGCUUUUGAUACUGCCGGGCUUGAGUGCAGGAGAGGUAGACGGAAUUCCUAGUGUAGCGGUGAAAUGCGUAGAUAUUAGGAGGAACACCAGUGGCGAAGGCGGCUUACUGGACUGUAACUGACGUUGAGGCGCGAAAGCGUGGGGAGCAAACAGGAUUAGAUACCCUUGUAGUC
This 440-nucleotide ribosomal RNA is filed under the name uncultured bacterium. RNAcentral's name for it is "partial 16S ribosomal RNA". It matches the Rfam family "Bacterial small subunit ribosomal RNA", at positions 338 to 795 of the family's 1533-position model. The record is from RNAcentral.